Long non-coding RNA from Carassius carassius (crucian carp), 963 nucleotides. RefSeq lists it as uncharacterized. NCBI's taxonomy places the organism in Eukaryota, Metazoa, Chordata, Actinopteri, Cypriniformes, Cyprinidae. The transcript is spliced from 2 exons. The record is from RefSeq and is a predicted model, not a curated record.
UUUGGUGUUGUGUUUGGACCCGCUGCGGGACAGACCAGCCCUGCGCCGCACAUGAGGGAGCUCCUCUCCGGUUUCCAGAGCAUAUUCAUGAGGAGCUUCACCUGUCAACUCCUGACAAAAGUAGUGAAAAACAAACAUGAACAUUAGUAGAAUGGAUCGCAGCAUGCAGGAAGUGGCUUGUAAAGCGGGAAGCGAGUGCGGGAAACAGAAAUGGGAGGCUCAGACUGACCUAUAACAACAAUGCCGGCAGAAACCCUCAUGCACAAAAACACCCUCUCAGGGCCAGAGUCAUUUCCUAAAGAUCAGCUGUAAACGGAGGCACAGACAAUGAAGUGAAAGGUCAAAAAACUCAUAUACUGUAACUCACACGCUUUCCUGUCUGCAACCUAAAUAAGCGUUUCGGUCUCAAUGGCCAGUGGUGAUCUGUUCUUCUCAUUGCAUCAGAAAGUAGUUAUUAUCUCAGCUGCAUGAGAUGGGCGGCUCUCUGGACGGCCCUAUGAUUGAGAAGCCGUGAAUGAUGGGUGUCUCUGAAAAAUUCAGAAGGUUAUAAUUAUAAAGAAAGAUCAAUAGUCCCAUAUGCGAACUAACUUGGAGAAAAGAGCAGCAGAUGAGUGAAAUGCACGUCCAAAUUAAAGAAAGCAACAGAACAAUGUGGCUAUUGUUUGUUGUCUUGACCUAAUCGUGCCCAUCACACACACUCAAGGGUCAGAGGAGGACAAAUAAAAGUAAGCGGGCUUAUAACGUAACACAAAUAUGUGCAUAUAGCUAGAGCAAACAUGGUGUCUAUGCCUGUCUUGGUUUGCCUAGUGUUGGGUUUCAGCUAAUGGAGUCACGCUGUUGUCAGUUUGAGCUUGAUAAGAUCCCUGAUCUUGAACUGAUGCAUUUCCCAAUUUCUAAGCAUUUAUUGUAGUGUUUACCUUAAUCUUCAAAUGUUUUGAUUAAACCCUUUCGCACUAUUUAUCC